AGAAUCAACGCUGGCGGCGUGCCUAACACAUGCAAGUCGAACGAGAAAGUGGAGCAAUCCAUGAGUAAAGUGGCGACCGGGUGGGUAACACGUGACUAACCUACCUUUGAGUGGGGGAUAACAUCGGGAAACCGAUGCUAAUACCGCAUAACAUCGCAAGAUCAAAGCAGCAAUGCGCUUAAAGAGGGGGUCGCGGCUGAUUAGCUAGUUGGCGGGUAACGGCCCACCAAGGCGAAGAUCGGUA
This 244-nucleotide ribosomal RNA is filed under the name uncultured bacterium. Its description in RNAcentral is "partial small subunit ribosomal RNA". It matches the Rfam family "Bacterial small subunit ribosomal RNA", at positions 26 to 285 of the family's 1533-position model. The record is from RNAcentral.